GGGCUCUUGGCUCAGUGGUAGAGCGUCCCGUUUGCAACGGGAAGGUCGCGGGUCCAAUUCCCGCAGAGUCCA
This 72-nucleotide transfer RNA is filed under the name Microcaldota archaeon. RNAcentral's name for it is "tRNA-Ala". It matches the Rfam family "tRNA". Rfam says of the family: Transfer RNA (tRNA) molecules are approximately 80 nucleotides in length. Lineage: Archaea; Nanobdellati; Microcaldota. RNAcentral also lists the same sequence under 1 other name. The record is from RNAcentral.